CGUAGCGAAUGAAUUAAGAGCUUGCUCUUAUGAAGUUAGCGGCGGACGGGUGAGUAACACGUGGGUAACCUGCCCAUAAGACUGGGAUAACUCCGGGAAACCGGGGCUAAUACCGGAUAACAUUUUGAACUGCAUGGUUCGAAAUUGAAAGGCGGCUUCGGCUGUCACUUAUGGAUGGACCCGCGUCGCAUUAGCUAGUUGGUGAGGUAACGGCUCACCAAGGCAACGAUGCGUAGCCGACCUGAGAGGGUGAUCGGCCACACUGGGACUGAGACACGGCCCAGACUCCUACGGGAGGCAGCAGUAGGGAAUCUUCCGCAAUGGACGAAAGUCUGACGGAGCAACGCCGCGUGAGUGAUGAAGGCUUUCGGGUCGUAAAACUCUGUUGUUAGGGAAGAACAAGUGCUAGUUGAAUAAGCUGGCACCUUGACGGUACCUAACCAGAAAGCCACGGCUAACUACGUGCCAGCAGCCGCGGUAAUACGUAGGUGGCAAGCGUUAUCCGGAAUUAUUGGGCGUAAAGCGCGCGCAGGUGGUUUCUUAAGUCUGAUGUGAAAGCCCACGGCUCAACCGUGGAGGGUCAUUGGAAACUGGGAGACUUGAGUGCAGAAGAGGAAAGUGGAAUUCCAUGUGUAGCGGUGAAAUGCGUAGAGAUAUGGAGGAACACCAGUGGCGAAGGCGACUUUCUGGUCUGUAACUGACACUGAGGCGCGAAAGCGUGGGGAGCAAACAGGAUUAGAUACCCCUGGUAGUCCACGCCGUAAACGAUGAGUGCUAAGUGUUUAGAGGGUUUCCGCCCUUUAGUUGCUGAAGUUAACGCAUUAAGCACUCCGCCCUGGGGGAGUACGGCCGCAAGGCUGAACUCAAAGGAAUUGACGGGGGCCCGCACAAGCGGGUGGAAGCAUGUGGUUUAAUUCGAAGCACGCGAGACCUUACCAGUCUUGACAUCCUCUGAAACCCUAGAGAUAGGGCUUCUCCUUCGGGAGCAGAGUGACAGUGGGUGCAUGGUGUCGUCAGCUCGUGUCCGUGAAGAUGUUGGGUUAAGUCCCGCACGAGCGCACCCUGAUCUAGUGCCAUCAUUAAGUUGGGCACUCUAAGUGACUGCCGUGCAACCGAGAAAAUU
RNAcentral lists this ribosomal RNA (1123 nucleotides) under Bacillus thuringiensis. RNAcentral's name for it is "bacterial SSU rRNA". It matches the Rfam family "Bacterial small subunit ribosomal RNA", at positions 63 to 1174 of the family's 1533-position model. Lineage: Bacteria; Bacillati; Bacillota; Bacilli; Caryophanales; Bacillaceae. The record is from RNAcentral.